UUAGAGGAAGUAAAAGUCGUAACAAGGUUUCCGUAGGUGAACCUGCGGAAGGAUCAUUAUUGAAUGAACUUGACUUGGUUGCUGCUGGCCUUUUCGGAGGCAUGUGCACACCUUGUCAUCUUUAUAUCUCCACCUGUGCACCUUUUGUAGACCUGGUAUCAAUUUUCCGAGGCAACUCGGUCGUGAGGAAUUGCUUUAAUCGGCUUUCCUUGUAAGAUUCCAGGCCUAUGUUUUCAUAUACACCAUAAGAAUGUAACAGAAUGUCAUUAUUAGACUUUAUUGUCUUAUAAACUAUAUACAACUUUCAGCAACGGAUCUCUUGGCUCUCGCAUCGAUGAAGAACGCAGCGAAAUGCGAUAAGUAAUGUGAAUUGCAGAAUUCAGUGAAUCAUCGAAUCUUUGAACGCACCUUGCGCUCCUUGGUAUUCCGAGGAGCAUGCCUGUUUGAGUGUCAUUAAAUUCUCAACCUUUACCUUCUUUUUUAAAGUGAGUAAAUGGCUUGGAUGUGGGGGUUUUGCCGGUUUCUCUUUUGAAAUCAGCUCCCCUGAAAGAUAUUAGCUGGUUGCCUUGUGUAAACCUGUCUAUUGGUGUGAUAAUUAUCUACGCCGUGGAUGGUUUGCCGUUUAUAGCACUGCUUAUAACCGUCUGUUCAUUCAGACAAUUUAUGACAAUUUGACCUCAAAUCAGGUAGGACUACCCGCUGAACUUAAGCAUAUCAAUAA
This 721-nucleotide ribosomal RNA is filed under the name Stropharia ochraceoviridis. RNAcentral's name for it is "eukaryotic LSU rRNA". The stretch from base 300 to 453 matches the Rfam family "5.8S ribosomal RNA". The record is from RNAcentral. Lineage: Eukaryota; Fungi; Basidiomycota; Agaricomycetes; Agaricales; Strophariaceae.